Long non-coding RNA from Drosophila novamexicana, 439 nucleotides. RefSeq lists it as uncharacterized. The transcript is spliced from 3 exons. The record is from RefSeq and is a predicted model, not a curated record. NCBI's taxonomy places the organism in Eukaryota, Metazoa, Arthropoda, Insecta, Diptera, Drosophilidae.
AUGAUAGUACCAUAACUCUUACAAGUUGUCCACUGAUAAUAAAAAAUGUAAAAAAAAGUGCCAGAUUAGGAUAUACCCUGUACCCGAAUUCAGACCUAGUAUAUGCAAAACUAGACUUCAUUGUUUGGAUAGUCUAAUCCUUAUAAUGUUUAUUAUUUUAUCUCUUGACCUAUUAAAAAGUUUCUGAAUCCUGCCAAGCUGCAAAGCACAAAAAGAAUAGCAUAAAAUCCAGAUCAAAGGCGGGGAGGUGUCUGUGUAUUCUGUUGAUGUCUGUGUGCACUUUAAAACUAUUACAUGACUCCAUUAUGAUAAUUCACUCCAGUACGCAGUCUAUUAAUAACCAAUUACAAAUGAUUUAGUAUUAAAUUUUUGAAGCGUAUUCGGCAGCAUUAAAAACAAAAGUUUCCCGAGGUGCCGACCCUAGCUCAUUUCCUGUUGA